UGUCUGACUUCUCGGCGAUUUUUACGAUCUAACUUCAAGAUAAAACCCCUAUCCAUUUGACAUCUAAAUGUCAUAGCGACUUUUGGGAUAGUUUGCUAUGGACAAAGGGGGACAAAGUCAAGGGGUGAGGGGGAAGGAGGGCCCAGGAGAGCCUCCAGGACCCUCGGCAGCCUCCUCACCAGCUCCCCCUCCCCCCCAGUCCUGUAAGAAGUUGGGCCAAGCUGGAAGGGAUUGACCGGAUGCUCACCACCCUUCUGUCUGUCACUCAGCAUCUCUGCAAUCCCUCCCACAUCUCAUGUUUGUAUCACCGGCUUGCUGCCUACAAGCUUUGGUGUGAGUGAGAAUGUACACCUCUGACUGUCUCACUCUCUCUCAUCGAAGGAAAAUGAGCUUUGGAGCCAGGCUGGAAGACGGAGCCAAGGUUGCCUGUCGCGAGAUGGAGCCGCAAAGGCAGGGCCUGGGCGCCUGGAGUCCAGCAUGAAAGGAAAUAGCGCCUCAUCGCUCUUAUCUAAGCCCAGAGCCGCCUCCUCGCCCUUGCUGGCCUCUGCGGAGAUUCCAGGCCCUCCGGAGACCAGGAGACCUCAGCGGCCACCGCCCCUCGUGCCAAUGCUGCCGGGAAACCACCGAUACCCGCACCGGGCAAGAGAACUGCGCUGGGGGCCACUGGAGGAGGCGGGAACAAGGGAGGGAUGGGGGGAGGGGGAGGGGGCGCAAACCCACAGAGGCCAUAGCAACCGGCUUCUGCCGGCGCCCCCCCCAAGCCCAGACGCCCCCAUUCUCUCUUUCGCAGCCCCCUUGCUUAAACCUCUCCUCCCAGCUUAAAAACGAGACUCAGAGCUCACCUCCGUGGCCCUCUUUCGGUUCCUCCUGUGGUCAGCCCUGCCUUGCUUCCCCUCCAGGAAGCAGCCGCCCCUCUCUAGGCCACCCAAUUUCCUGGGAAGCCUCUCCCUGCAGCGCCCAGAGGUGGGGUUCAGCCCCAUCUUGGAGGGGGGAGAAGGAGGGAGACAAACCCAAGCCCCACCCCCACAAAAUCAAUGCAAAAAAUACGAGAAUUGUAGCAUCUCCCUUACCUUUGCAGACCUUGGGAUUUCUUUCUUCCGAUUGAAAGGGGUGGGGAGAAAGGAAAGGGGAAAAAAAAAAAAAAAAAAAAAGAGCGUUUGGUUUCUUCUUCAUCUUCCAGAUAAUAUUGUCCCAACCUGAGAGCCGUUGCUUCCUCUUCUCUGACUUGGAAGAGAGGGUGUUUCGCUUUUCUGAUAUUUGCAUAUAAAAUGGAGUAAGUUCUGGCUUUGAAAAAUGGUAUCAGGCUGCAGUCCUGGGCAGGUGGUCCAUUUACACUCCAUGAUGACUAAAAUCCCAGAUCAGCAAGCAAAUUAACUUAGAAAUGAAAAUUAUUUUUGAUUCUCUCUUUUGUGUAA
Molecule: long non-coding RNA, 1415 nt
Organism: Phacochoerus africanus (Common warthog)
Lineage: Eukaryota; Metazoa; Chordata; Mammalia; Artiodactyla; Suidae
Exons: 4
Source: RefSeq, a predicted model, not a curated record